UGAAAUCUGUUUUGUUUUGUUUUUUUAAAUCCUAGGGUUGAAAAGAAAGCGCCCAGAUGAUUUAGGAUGGUCCGUAUGGUGAUUGAAGUCAAAGUGGAAGAAAUUGCAAAUUGUUGAGGAGACUUUAUGUGGCUGUGCUGAAUCUGUGAUUCCUGAUGGAUCAGCCACACAUGGCCUGGAGUUGUCCAGCUACCAGUCCAGACCCCUGCAUAAAUUAGACACACUCCUGCAUUGACUUUGUAUAGAAUGAAGACAAGAUCCUGCAACCUAACAGGAGCAAAAUCGAGGGAACUAUGUGUGUAUAAGGACUACUCAGAAGCUGGGAAUGGGCGACGGGAUGGAUCACGUGAUGUUUACCUGUUCCGUUCAUUCCCUCUGAAGCACCUGGCAUUGGCCACGGUCAGAAGACAGGAUAUGGGGUUAGAUGGAUCCUUGUUAUGACCCAGUAUGGCGGUUAUGUUUUUAUGUUCUUAAAGCAACAAAUCAAGCCAGGAUGCUGUUUGCUGGGGUCAUAGACUCAAGUAUGAAUAUAAUAUGAGAGUGUGUAUGUGCGCUGCAUCACCAUGGACUUCACAGCCUUGUUGUCUCCAGUCCUGGGAAUGGGCAGGGA
Caretta caretta (loggerhead turtle) is the source of this 610-nucleotide long non-coding RNA. RefSeq lists it as uncharacterized. Lineage: Eukaryota; Metazoa; Chordata; Testudines; Cheloniidae. The record is from RefSeq and is a predicted model, not a curated record.